RNAcentral lists this ribosomal RNA (279 nucleotides) under Salmonella enterica subsp. arizonae. RNAcentral describes it as "partial 23S ribosomal RNA". It matches the Rfam family "Bacterial large subunit ribosomal RNA", at positions 1 to 271 of the family's 2925-position model. The record is from RNAcentral. Lineage: Bacteria; Pseudomonadati; Pseudomonadota; Gammaproteobacteria; Enterobacterales; Enterobacteriaceae.
GGGUUGUGAGGUUAAGCGACCAAGCGUACACGGUGGAUGCCCUGGCAGUCAGAGGCGAUGAAGGACGUGCUAAUCUGCGAAAAGCGCCGGUAAGGUGAUAUGAACCGUUAUAACCGGCGAUGUCCGAAUGGGGAAACCCAGUGUGACUCGUCACACUAUCAUUAACUGAAUCCAUAGGUUAAUGAGGCGAACCGGGGGAACUGAAACAUCUAAGUACCCCGAGGAAAAGAAAUCAACCGAGAUUCCCCCAGUAGCGGCGAGCGAACGGGGAGGAGCCCA